RNAcentral lists this ribosomal RNA (506 nucleotides) under uncultured bacterium. Its description in RNAcentral is "partial 16S ribosomal RNA". It matches the Rfam family "Bacterial small subunit ribosomal RNA", at positions 29 to 507 of the family's 1533-position model. The record is from RNAcentral.
ACGAACGCUGGCGGCGUGCUUAACACCUGCAAGUCGAACGGGCCUUGUCCCCUUUUUUUUUGGGGGUGGGGUUAGUGGCGAACGGGUGAGUAACACGUGAGUAACCUGCCCCUCACUUCUGGAUAACCGCUUGAAAGGGUGGCUAAUACGGGGUGUUCUGGCCUGCUCGCAUGGGUGGGUUUGGAAAGAUUCGACCGGUUUGGUUGUUUUGGUGGGGGAUGGGCUCGCGGCCUAUCAGCUUGUUGGUGGGGUGAUGGCCUGCCAAGGCUUUGACGGGUAGCCGGCCUGAGAGGGUGGGCGGUCACACUGGGACUGAGACACGGCCCAGACUCCUACGGGAGGCAGCAGUGGGGAAUAUUGCACAAUGGGCGCAAGCCUGAUGCAGCGACGCCGCGUGAGGGAUGGAGGCCUUCGGGUUGUGAACCUCUUUCGCCAGUGAAGAAGGUCCUGCUCUUUGUGGUGGGGUUGACGGUAGCGGGGUUAAUGAAGCGCCGGCUAACUACGUG